This is a long non-coding RNA of Hypomesus transpacificus, 365 nucleotides long. RefSeq lists it as uncharacterized. NCBI's taxonomy places the organism in Eukaryota, Metazoa, Chordata, Actinopteri, Osmeriformes, Osmeridae. The transcript is spliced from 3 exons. The record is from RefSeq and is a predicted model, not a curated record.
GACGAGGGGGUGAUUCAACUUUCCACAGAAUCUCAAAAUGGCGUCGAAUGGAGGAAAUGUAGAAUUAGACGGGUUUUGAAACAAACGUAAUAACUCAGUUUAGGAUCUAUAAUUUGGUCUAUAAACAGUGCCCAAACACAACAUCUGAAUGACUGGAGGUUGCUGAUGGGUUCCAGAAAAAGUGGCAGUUCCCCCACUGUCUGGGUGCUUUGGAUGGAAAACAUGUGGCAAUUCGACCCCCACCAAAUAGUGGCUCAGUUUUUUAUAAUUACAAGCAAUUUAACUUUAAGAUCUCAAGAUGCCGGCUAUCUGGUAAUACCCAAAGUUAAGAAAAAAACAGCUGGAGAUUUCAUGUUCCAACGUUG